GCGGCUACCAGCACGUCCGAGAUGGCCAUGGACGCCAUCAGAUUGUGCGGAACGCGGUGAAACGUGCGCACGCGGAGAAUGGUCGCCAGCACCAGCAGGUUCCAGGCGAAUGUGGCCGCCACCAGGAAGCCCAGCAAGGUAAUUGAGGCUGAGCAUCCCAGAGUCCCAGAGUGGACGGGGGCGUUCGGAGAAAGUCUGUCGGUCGUAGGAAGGAUUCCGCAGAAGCUGGAGAGCCUGGGACUGCGGUGGCCACGGACGGGACUCCCAGGAAGUAGCAGGUUUGGAGCAGAUUCUUUGUUCUACAUGAGCAGGUGAGUAACAGAAGCAGAAGGAUCACCAAUAUCCCUAACAUUCACCCCUUAGAAUUUUCUUACAUGAUACCUGAACUAGAAGAGACUCUGACAUCAGGGAGAACACUCUGGGGCUUCCUCUCCUCUGGUUUUCU
This is a long non-coding RNA of Bubalus bubalis (water buffalo), 445 nucleotides long. RefSeq lists it as uncharacterized. The transcript has 3 exons. The record is from RefSeq and is a predicted model, not a curated record. Lineage: Eukaryota; Metazoa; Chordata; Mammalia; Artiodactyla; Bovidae.